GUGGGGAAUAUUGCACAAUGGGCGAAAGCCUGAUGCAGCAACGCCGCGUGAGUGAUGAAGGCCUUCGGGUUGUAAAGCUCUGUCUUUUGGGACGAUAAUGACGGUACCAAAGGAGGAAGCCACGGCUAACUACGUGCCAGCAGCCGCGGUAAUACGUAGGUGGCAAGCGUUGUCCGGAUUUACUGGGCGUAAAGGGUGCGUAGGUGGAUGUUUAAGUCAGAUGUGAAACCCCUGGGCUCAACCCAGGACCUGCAUUUGAAACUGGACAUCUAGAGUGCGGGAGAGGUAAGUGGAAUUCCUAGUGUAGCGGUGAAAUGCGUAGAGAUUAGGAAGAACACCAGUGGCGAAGGCGACUUACUGGACCGUAACUGACACUGAGGCACGAAAGCGUGGGUAGCAAACAGGAUUAGAUACCCUAGUAGUCC
RNAcentral lists this ribosomal RNA (425 nucleotides) under uncultured bacterium. RNAcentral describes it as "bacterial SSU rRNA". It matches the Rfam family "Bacterial small subunit ribosomal RNA", at positions 354 to 796 of the family's 1533-position model. The record is from RNAcentral.